This is a long non-coding RNA of Gorilla gorilla gorilla (western lowland gorilla), 6326 nucleotides long. RefSeq lists it as uncharacterized. Lineage: Eukaryota; Metazoa; Chordata; Mammalia; Primates; Hominidae. The record is from RefSeq and is a predicted model, not a curated record. The transcript is spliced from 3 exons.
UGACUUCUAUUCAUAAUAUAUUCAUAUGUGUUUUAACAUAAAAUGUUUAUCAUUUAAAUGGAUUCUCCAGGAAAAUGCACCAGGUUUAUUCUUUUGCUGUGCAUAUAGUUGUGCUCAGAGAGUAGUUCUGCCUCAGUUUGAGGAACAUGGGUGUUCUGGAAGAAAUCCUGUAUUGGGGGUAAAGAUAUGGGGUUCUGGCCCCAUCUUUGCCGUAAAUUAGCUGUGUGACCUUGGGCAGAUCAUUUAAACCCAUUGGUUUCCAUUUUCUUUGAUGUGAAUUGGGUGGCAGUGACUGAUCAGAUUAGAUCACAAAAUCCCUUCCUUCUGUCAUGCUAUAAUGACAUAGAGUCUUGAAUGCCAGGACCGUGCCUCCCCAGUGCCUGAGUGGUUGUGCUUCCUAGACCCCAAGGUCCAGUGUGUGCCAAUAUGGCCUUACCCUCUUUACUGCCUCAGAGUCACAGUAAGGACUUUUCUUUAUAAUUGAAUGAACACAGAAUGAAUGGGCAUCUUGGCAUAGCUGGUUUACACAUUAUUCUUGUUUCCCUUUUCUACAUAUAUGAAAAUGUGAACUAAAUCCAUAGCCCUCCCUUGGUGGAUAAAGACAUGGGCAUAAUAGUUCCAUGAAUUUAGCCUCUUUUCGUAUUCAACAGUCUCAUCCCUUCCCCUCAACUUGUGUUCUCCUUGAUAGAAAUCUAACCACUUCUACAAGUGGCAGCUAAAGAAUUAGUCUUAUAUAACCUUCUCGCUCAACAACUGAAAAGUUGUACAAACCUUUUAAAGAAUUUACCAUCAGCAAGGGCUGUGCUUCUAGGCUUGUCCAAAUUGCUGUGUAAAGUACACUCUCUAAAUUAACCAGACCAUAUUAACCCUGAAAACAAGACUCACUCUUCUUAAGCUAUGUCUCCAGACUGUACCAAAUUGUACUUUCUCUUGAAGUAGGACAUUCUGUGCCCUGUUUGAAAGCUGGAGUGACUAAUGUAGCUGGAAUUGCUGAUGAGAGAAGACAGGAAGAGAAAGAACCGAUGUGCCUUAAGAAUAGGGAAUUUCGACUGGGCACGGUGGCUCAUGCCUGUAAUCCCAGCACUUUUGGGAGACCGAGGCGGGCGGAUCACCUGAGGUCGGGAGUUCGAGACCAGCCUGACCAACAUGGAGAAACCCCAUCUCUACUAAAAAUAUAAAAAAAUUAGCUGGGCAUGGUGGCACAUGCCUGUAAUCUCAGCUACUUGGGAGGCUGAGGCAGGAGAAUCGCUUGAUCCCUGGAGGCAGAGGUUCCGGUGAGCCAAGAUUGUACCAUUGCACUCCAGCCUGGGCAACAAGAGCGCAAAUCAGUCUCAAAAAAAAAAAAAAAAAAAAAGAAUAGGGAAUUUCACUAGGCCCUUUGCAGAAUGCAGUAUGGCUGAUGUGUGUAUUAUGGCAUGGUAAAUAUUACUCCUAGCCUCCUUGUGAAAUGGGCUCCAUGUCAUGCCUCAAAGCCCUACUAAGUCAUUGCUAGGGCUGAGCCUCAAGCCCAGCCCCAACAGUAGGCCCAACCUGGCCUUCCCUCCCAGCACUAUCACUGCCUGUCUUUCAACCUAUGCUAUACAUUGUGACAAUCAGUUAACUGAGGUACAAGUGUAUUUGGACUUAUGCCAGACUGAGAAUGAGAAAUAUUCAGAUCACACCUGGAAAAUGCAAUGCAAAACUCCCUUGUCUUGAGCUAAAAAUCUAGAAGCAUUUUCAAGUGACUAAGUCCCUUAGUUUCUAGGUAUGAGCCUGUGAUAAGUUAUCUUUAGUUGUUUCUGGCUUAAGGGGAUGUCAGUGACUUUUUCCCUUAGCCCCCCUCCUGGAACAGCCGGCUGCUGGUGGACUAGUUUUUUGAAAGAAGCCCUGAAUUCUGAAACCUCAUGCUGGGGCUUUGGGUUAGUGUUUGCAUUACUGACUGUGGUUUCAUGGCAUGAUAAUGCAAAGUUUAAUAAGAGCAGGCUGUCUUUGCCUGCAGCUAGAGAUGCAUUGAGGCAUGACUACUUCUAGUGCCUGCUCUGUGCCAGAUUCACAGUGCCUUACAGCCCCUCCCCAGAACUGGGGCAGAGGAGGAAGAAAAAAGUGACUCUGUGGUUCAGGGGAAGGAGUAAAGUUUCAAGGCUGUGUGAUAGGACAUUUCCCUGAUGCUUGGCUUUAGACUCAGGAUGGGGACGUUAAUACAUUCAGCAGAGGCUGGCUACCUAUACUGGCACCAUUGAAGGACUCUGCCCUGGCUCAGUGCUGGGUUUGCUUGGUGAUGCAGUGUAGUGUAGCAGGAUGAUCACCAGCUUUAAAGCCAGAUCAACCCAAAUUUGAAUCUCAGCAUUAGUCCUCACUCUGCUUUGAGAUGUCGGGCAAGUGAUUUAAUCUCUUGAAAUCUCAGUUUGUUCAUCUGAGUAACAGGUGGUAAAAUACAUACAUUGAAAGGCUGCUAAAAGAUUAAGCAAUGAGAAGGCAAAAUGGUACAGCAACUUUGGGAGACAGUUUGGCAGUUUCUUAUACAAAUAAACAUACUCUUACCAUAUGAUCCAGCAAUCCAUCUCCUUGGUUUUUACCCAAAGGAAUUGAAAACUUAUGUCCACACAAAAACCUGUGCACACAAAUGUUUGUAGCAGCUUUAUUCAUAAUUGCCAAAACUGGGAAGCAACCAAGAUGCCCUUCAGUAACUGAGUGGAUAAACUGGUAUGUCCAUCUGUAUCUUUUAUUCAGUGAUAAAAGAAAUGAGCUAUCAAGCCAUGAAAAGACAUGGAGGAACAUUAAAUACAUGUUGAUAAGUGAAAGAAGCCAGUCCAAAAGGCGGUAUACUGUGUGACAUCUGGAAAAGGCAAAACUAUAGAGAAAGUAAAAAAGAUCAGUGAUUGCCAGGCCUUCGGGGAAGGGAGUAAGGGAUGAGUUGAUGAAGCAUAGGGGACUUUUAGGGCAGUGAAACUGUUCUAUAGUAUCUAGAAUACUAUAUUACUAUAUCAAUCAUAGAAUGAUACUGGAGAACAUACUGUAAUGAUGGACACAUGACGUUGUGUAUUUGACAAACCCUUCUUUGUGUUGUACACAGAGAAGGAACCCUAAUAUCAACUAUGGACUUUAGUUAAUAAGUCUUCUAAAAAGCUUAAACAAGGCAAUGUGUAUAAACUAACUGACUAACUGGCAUAAAUAAAUAGUGGACUUCAAAAAAAAUUCAUAAUCCUAGCACUUUGGGAGGCCGAGGUGGGUGGAUCAACUGAGGUCAGAAGUUCAAGACCAGCCUGGCCAACUUGGCAAAACCCCAUCUCUACUAAAAAAAUACAAAAAAAAAAAAAAUGUAUUCUAAGUUCCAGGAAUGUCAUUUAGACAUAGUUUCUUUUGGGGCUAGAUGUAUCAAUUUUCAUUAAAGGUGAUAUUAUUAUUUAAAAAUCCAGCUGGUUACUAAAUGAGAAUUAGCUACCCUUUAUAACCAGGGAUUGUUUCAAAGAAAUGUAGUUAUUUUCUCCCCUGUGGCCUAUCUUGUGCAAAGUUAGUAAUAGUUUGUUGCCAAAUCCAAGGAAAGCAAACUCUGGCUCAGGCAUGAGAUUUAUUUUUCUCACCAUGAUUUACAACUGGUGUAAAAUUUAGGUCUGGACUUGGUUAGUUAUAAUGCGAUCGCAAUAUACCGCAUCUUGAGUUGAUUUUGCCAUAUCCUGUAUUGUUAUGUAAAAUGCUAACUUUAAUUGAGAAUUGCCCCAGUAGAAUAUCCUUAUUUGUCCUGCAUGAAGUUUCUCCUCUUUUGUAUCAAUUUUUUGUAUGGUUCAAAUUAGUGCAGGAAGAAAAGGCAGGAAAUAUAAAUUUAAGGGAUAUGUGUUAUAUCAUAAAAGAAUUGUAUCACAAAGCAUUAAGACAAUGCACAGAAAACUUUGCCAAUAGCUGAUAGAGCAGAAGGGAUUGUGUAUUUAAAUAAGAACUAACACCUAUUUUGUAACUGGAAAUUGCAUUGUCAGAGUCCCUUUCCUUUUAUCACUAGAUGCUAAGAAUCUAGCCAUGUAAAAACUCCCAAAACAUCCAAAUUCAAAAAAACUGGAAUCUAACGUGGUAAUGCAGUUGUCAAGAACACGCAAUAGUCUUUGGGCUUUUACAAAGCACUGAAAACUAAAUGUUGCAUUUGUGUCCUUAUCUUCCACAACUUCUUUCUUGGCAGCUUUUCUUGGCUCACUUCAGACACACAGAAUUUCAAGUAAUCAGGGAAAGUUGGGACAGAAACUUCCUCUGUCUUUCCAUGGCCUUUUCUUUUUCCUUUACGGAUCUGUGCUCCUAUGCUUUCUCUCACAUUCACAUUAUAUGUGUCAGUUGGAGAAAUCUUGAUGCCCAGUUUCGUUUGUUUCUUCUGUCACACCUGUAAUUAAUUUAGGUUGAGUUCUCUGGCUCAUGUAUCAGAGUAUGUAUGACAAAUUAUCUCAAAGCCCAGAGGGCCUCGGUGGUCCAAGUCCCAGCAACAAGGGACACCUGCUGUCAUGACAUGGGCUUGACCUGCGUUCUGUGGACAUUAAGGAACCACUGUCCUGAGAGGGGGGUAUGGAGCUAAGCUAGGGGAGGGGGCAGGAUGAGCUUAGAGCUGCCGAGGAAACGGAAAGAGUCUAUAGGCUUUAAAAAAGAGAAGAGAAAAAAAGAAGAAUAAAAGAUGUUCCUGGAGACUCUGAGAAUAGUUAAGAGUCCAGGGCCAGCCAGAAUCACCCUUUCCCCCAGCUACCGAGAGUGCCACAGAACAGAAAUUGACUUGGAAGAUAUUGCUCCUAGACCAAAAGUCCAAAUUAAGGGGUAUAGGCAGUUAAGGGCAAGUGAGGGCAGUGGAGAUGGUUGUCCGAAUCCAGUGGACAUGAGAGGUUUCUCAGCUGCCUGCCAGUUCUCUGCUGGGACAAUGCCAGCCAUAAAGUACAAGCCAUGCUUUGGUGUGGGCUGUAGACAUAUUGUUUUCCCAUAACUACUGUCAUUCAAAGAGGAUCUAGUUUCUUGGCAUGAGCAAAUUGUUCCUGCUGAAUACACAUACUAUGUCUGCUAUGGGGCAAGGCAAAGCGAAUCCUCCAAGGAACUGGAUGGAUUUUUCAUUCUGAGAUAAGCAGUUUUUUUGUGGGGGCGGGGGAGGUGGAGAGGAGCCAGCUUCACUCUCUGUUCAUGUGAGUUUUGAAUGAAAUGAGUAAAGUUCAUGUUCCCCCCAGAGUACACAAGGUUCAAGUGGGAUUACCCAGUGGGAAUCCAGCCCGAUUGUAAUUUAACUUGUUCGAGGGAUCUAAAUAUUUAAUCUGCCUUCAUCACGAAUCCUAGAAUCCUAUGUAAGCAGCAAAGGCCGAGGCUCUGAAAGUAAACACUGCAGUUAGAAUCAGAAGUGUUGCAACUAGCACAACUGCUGCUGUGACGUCCUACAAACUUUGGAGAGUGCCAGAGGAAGCUAGCCUGAGAGCACAGAACUGGCAGUCACGAGGCCUGUGUUCUCCAGCUUCGCCUGCCACCAACUCUCUGCGCCUCCAGGCCUCCUUUGUCAAGUAAGGACACAAGCAAAGCAUCUCAGAAGACAAGUCAUUUUCGUAACUGGAAAUGAGACAGAGCCAACAAGGAUGCGUGAAACCAGGACAUAAAUUGUGAAACCUAUGUGAUCAUGUAUAUGUACAAUGUUUUCUUAAAAAAAAUACCAUUCCUAGAUAUAAUAUCAAUUUUUUGUAUGAUUUUGCCCCACAUUUUGCUCAAAUUAUGCAGUGUUUGAAAGAGAUUCUCUGCAGAGGUUGGAAUCACCCCCUUGGGUGCUGGUAGCAAUCUGUGAAGGUAGCUUUUUAGAUGUCACAAUGAUUGGGGGUGGAGUGCUGGUGACAUUGGGUGGGCAGGUGCAGAACUGCUAAACAACGCUCUGGGCAAUCCCACAAAGUGACCACCUGGCCCAUAUCUGGCAUGACUUUCAUGUCCCGCCAGACAUUCAAGGAAUCCAACUAUGUUUUCUAUAUAAACAUAUAGUAUUUUUCACAUCUGAAAAUAUGCACUGAAUUUUCCAGGAGUGUGUUUAAAUAGAGGUACAAGAAUCUGAGCCUCCCUUGUCCUUUAGCGCAAUCAAGCAGAGUAUCCACAUACUGAAAUACACAACAUUUUCUGAUUACAAAGGCCCAGGAAUAGCUAGUUAGCUUGCCCUGGUGUCACUGCUCACUCCUGUGAAGAGUAAGGAUAAACCAUGAGGAUAGUAGUGGUAAUGGUGAAACAGAAAGAACACAGAAAGCUGAUUCUAGAGUAGGGCUAUCUAAUAGAAAUAUCAUGCAAGCCACCAAUUGGAGCCACAUAUGUGGUUUACAUUUGGAAGUAGCUACAUUUUAAAAAGUAAAAAGAAUAUGUAACAUUAA